CAGAAGCCAUGCAGCCAGAUGCAAAAGAGAGCUACAAAUAGAGCAGCUGGUGGAUGAAGACCCAGAUGCAGACAAAGAGAAAGCAGACAGUGACAGAAAUAGGAAUAUGGAGAAUCCGAAGGAGAAGAAGCAAAAUUGCUCUCAGGAAGAGAAGACUACAUGAAGCUGCGUUGUCUAAGGUGAAAAGUCAAGACUCUCAGUUGGAUUUGAACAGAGGAGAAAAUGUUAAGAUGUGUUAAGCACUCGACUUUGAAGAGCAGCGGAGUUCAUCCCAGUGUCCUGACGAUAUUUAUCCCUCAACCACAGAGUCACUCAAACAGACUAUUCAUUGUUGUUUGUUCACAAGUUGGCUGCUGCAUUUCCCUGCAUCACAACAGUGACGACGCUUCUAGCUGCCGAUUUGCUCACUUUGGGAUGUCCUGUGAUUGUGCAAGAAGCUAUUUACAUGUAAAGCUUUUUCAUACUCUUUUUAAUUUUGUUGACGAACAUUUUGAAAAAUACAUAUUACAUUUAUUACUUAAGGAAAAUUUCCCAGCAAACAUACUCUAAUUCUGACACACUGCAUCAUUUAAGCCAAUUGCAAUCUGUGGAAGUAGACAUCCAUUAUGUACAACGAUGGCAGUUACAUUCCAUUAAGAUAUAUUUCUGAAAAUUGCCUUGAGAUCAGGGAUGUUACAAUGAGAUUACAAGGGAAAAUCUAGCUGUUGUUCAACAGCACUAGGAAAUAUACAACGAAUAGCUAUGAAUCCCUGGAAGUUAGUAGUAAAGAAAUAAUUUAAUCAAAGGAUUUACAGGAAGAACAUAAGCCAUGAGAGUGAAGUUCAAGCAGUGCAUGUUCAUUAUAUGAUCACUGAGUUUAUGUUGCUGUAAAUUCCCUUACAUCUGUUAUUAGUUAUUAUCUAUGCCAGGUUGUGUAUUUUCAUAUUUUCUUAUAAAAUAUAUUUUUGCGCUACUGAGAUCCAUUUCUUUGAUUUGUGGAUUUUCGGAUGUUGUUAAAUUUGAAAGUAAUGUCAUGUGACAUAUGACAAAGAACAUUACCAUUCCUCUGUUGUGUGAUCUGUAGGUAUGUUGGAUGAUGUGACAGGAGCUGUAGCAUUGCCAACUUCCCUUUCUAAGCAGAUUACAGCAUAUUUACUACCUCUUGUGUAUUUUAUCCUGGCACGUCCCAUUGGAAUCCUUGGGGUUAUGAUGUUUCUGUUCUCUGCCUGAAGACACUGCCUGAUUAUGGUCAGAUUUAUUUCCAUGAACCAGAUAAACUAUGAAAAUUACAAAUGCGAAUAUGGUGUUCAGCACCUUGAUUGCUGGAGAUUGGCUAAGACAGGGAACCCCCACUUUGAGGAAUGGUGUGCCAGCGUUCAACCCAUUCAUCAUACAGUAGGCAAGAUUUUGCAGCAGGGUGAUAAUUGCUGCUGUCAUCAUUGAGGCAGGUGGGGAACCGAAAACUUGGUGCUGUGCAAUACUAGUCCAUUUCCUUUGGAAUCCCAUUGUGUGUAAUUUUAUGUAGCCUGAGAUUAAUGGCACCAACAAUGUUUCAAUACCUAAAUAAAGACUUAA
Molecule: long non-coding RNA, 1554 nt
Organism: Carcharodon carcharias (great white shark)
Lineage: Eukaryota; Metazoa; Chordata; Chondrichthyes; Lamniformes; Lamnidae
Exons: 3
Source: RefSeq, a predicted model, not a curated record